GAUGAACGCUGACAGAAUGCUUAACACAUGCAAGUCUUUGGCGAAGCUGUGCUUGCACAGCCUAGCCAAGGCGGACGGGUGAGUAACGCGUAAGGAACUUGCCCUGCAGUCAGGGAUAACAGACGGAAACGACUGAUAAGACCUGGUAAAGUCAGGCGGACUCAUGUCCAGCCUGAUGAAAAGAGAUGCUGCAGGAGAGCCUUGCGUCCUAUUAGCUUGUUGGUGGGGUAACGGCCCACCAAGGCGAUGAUAGGUAGCCGGCCUGAGAGGGUGGACGGCCACAAGGGGACUGAGAUACGGCCCUUACUCCUACGGGAGGCAGCAGUGGGGAAUAUUGGACAAUGGGGGCAACCCUGAUCCAGCAAUUCUGUGUGCACGAUGAAGGUUUUCGGAUUGUAAAGUGCUUUCAGCAGGGAAGAAAAAAAUGACGGUACCUGCAGAAGAGGCGACGGCUAAAUACGUGCCAGCAGCCGCGGUAAUACGUAUGUCGCAAGCGUUAUCCGGAAUUAUUGGGCAUAAAGGGCAUCUAGGCGGCCAGAUAAGUCUGGGGUGAAAACUUGCGGCUCAACCGCAAGCCUGCCCUGGAAACUAUGUGGCUAGAGUACUGGAGAGGUGGACGGAACUGCACGAGUAAAGGUGAAAUUCGUAGAUAUGUGCAGGAAUGCCGAUGAUGAAGAUAGUUCACUGGACGGUAACUGACGCUGAAGUGCGAAAGCUAGGGGAGCAAACAGG
This 732-nucleotide ribosomal RNA is filed under the name uncultured Leptotrichia sp. RNAcentral's name for it is "bacterial SSU rRNA". It matches the Rfam family "Bacterial small subunit ribosomal RNA", at positions 28 to 776 of the family's 1533-position model. Lineage: Bacteria; Fusobacteriati; Fusobacteriota; Fusobacteriia; Fusobacteriales; Leptotrichiaceae. The record is from RNAcentral.